UUGAGAUUUUUAUGUUGGCACGGUUCAGUCAGAUCAAAUCUCUCGGUGGCUGAGUCGUUUAGUCUGAUUGAGCCGUGCCAAUAUCACCUUGACUCGC
This is a non-coding RNA of Gossypium hirsutum (cotton), 97 nucleotides long. NCBI's taxonomy places the organism in Eukaryota, Viridiplantae, Streptophyta, Magnoliopsida, Malvales, Malvaceae. The record is from Rfam.